RNAcentral lists this non-coding RNA (32 nucleotides) under Geobacter sulfurreducens KN400. The record is from RNAcentral. Lineage: Bacteria; Pseudomonadati; Thermodesulfobacteriota; Desulfuromonadia; Geobacterales; Geobacteraceae.
AACCCAUCCGAGUUGUCCAACAUCUUCGGCAG